ACUGGGAGUAACAAGAGGGAAACGUUCUGAUAAUACUGGAUAAGUUAGUAUAUCGCAUGAUAUGCAAAUGAAAGCUACGGCACUAAAGGAGAGCUUUGCGUCCUAUUAGCUAGUUGGUAAGGUAAGAGCUUACCAAGGCGAUGAUAGGUAGCCGGCCUGAGAGGGUGGACGGCCACAAGGGGACUGAGAUACGGCCCUUACUCCUACGGGAGGCAGCAGUA
Molecule: ribosomal RNA, 221 nt
Filed under: uncultured Leptotrichia sp.
Lineage: Bacteria; Fusobacteriati; Fusobacteriota; Fusobacteriia; Fusobacteriales; Leptotrichiaceae
Description: partial 16S ribosomal RNA
Rfam family: Bacterial small subunit ribosomal RNA
Source: RNAcentral